RNAcentral lists this non-coding RNA (45 nucleotides) under Schistosoma mattheei. Lineage: Eukaryota; Metazoa; Platyhelminthes; Trematoda; Strigeidida; Schistosomatidae. The record is from RNAcentral.
AUUCGGCCGACGAGUCUCAAAUAGGACGAAACGCGCGCCCUGGAU